AAGUCGUAACAAGGUUUCCGUAGGUGAACCUGCGGAAGGAUCAUUACAGUGUUCCCUGCCCUUCGGGGUAGGGUCGCCACCCUUGAUUAUUUAUGAGUGUUGCUUUGGCGGGCCUCGCAGCCUGGCCGCGCCCCGGCUUCGGCGGGGGAGCGCCCGCCAGAGGAUUCUACAAACCUGAUUAUUAGUGUCGUCUGAGUACUAUAUAAUAGUUAAAACUUUCAACAACGGAUCUCUUGGUUCUG
RNAcentral lists this unclassified non-coding RNA (242 nucleotides) under fungal sp. RNAcentral's name for it is "partial internal transcribed spacer region". The stretch from base 1 to 46 matches the Rfam family "Eukaryotic small subunit ribosomal RNA", at positions 1786 to 1831 of the family's 1831-position model. Lineage: Eukaryota; Fungi. The record is from RNAcentral.